UGAACGCUGGCUACAGGCUUAACACAUGCAAGUCGAGGGGAAACGACGGGGAAGCUUGCUUCCCCGGGCGUCGACCGGCGCACGGGUGAGUAACGCGUAUCCAACCUGCCUCUGACUGAGGGAUAACCCGUCGAAAGUCGGCCUAAUACCUCAUGGCAUCGUCUGCGGGCAUCCAACGACGAUUAAAGAUUUCAUCGGUCAGGGAUGGGGAUGCGUCUGAUUAGCUUGUUGGCGGGGUAACGGCCCACCAAGGCUACGAUCAGUAGGGGUUCUGAGAGGAAGGUCCCCCACAUUGGAACUGAGACACGGUCCAAACUCCUACGGGAGGCAGCAGUGAGGAAUAUUGGUCAAUGGGCGGGAGCCUGAACCAGCCAAGUAGCGUGCAGGAUGACGGCCCUAUGGGUUGUAAACUGCUUUUAUGCGGGGAUAAAGUGAGGGACGUGUCCUUCAUUGCAGGUACCGCAUGAAUAAGGACCGGCUAAUUCCGUG
Molecule: ribosomal RNA, 489 nt
Filed under: uncultured bacterium
Lineage: Bacteria
Description: partial 16S ribosomal RNA
Rfam family: Bacterial small subunit ribosomal RNA
Source: RNAcentral